This 65-nucleotide transfer RNA is filed under the name Methylococcales bacterium. RNAcentral's name for it is "tRNA-OTHER". Lineage: Bacteria; Pseudomonadati; Pseudomonadota; Gammaproteobacteria; Methylococcales. The record is from RNAcentral.
GCCGUUAGUGGUUGGAGCGGCGAUUCGUAAUCAGUAGGUCCGCAGUUCGAUUCUGCGCAACGGCA